Molecule: ribosomal RNA, 442 nt
Filed under: Domitius luquei
Lineage: Eukaryota; Metazoa; Arthropoda; Arachnida; Araneae; Nesticidae
Description: partial 16S ribosomal RNA
Rfam family: Bacterial large subunit ribosomal RNA
Source: RNAcentral
UUAAUACACUAAUAUUAAAUAUAGCCUGCUCAAUGAUAUAAAUAGCCGCAGAAAAUUCACUGUGCUAAGGUAGCAUAAUCACUUGCCUUUUAAUUAAAGACUAGAAUGAACGGCCUAACAAUUAAACAAUUUUUUUAACAAUAUAACUCUAAUUUUCACUAAGCAUAAAAAUAUUCUUAUUAAUAUAAAAGACGACAAGACCCCGUCGAACUUAACUGAAGUUAAGCUGGGGAAGCUAAUUAAUUACUACUGUAAAUAUUUUUAUUAUUACAUAAAUACCCAAUAUAAAUGAAAUAUAAUCAAGUUACCGCGGGGAUAACAGCGUAAUAAAUCUCUAAAGCUCUAAUUUAAAGAAUAGAUUACGACCUCGAUGUUGAAUUAAUUUUCCUUGCUAGAGCAAAAACUAUUCAAGUAAGUCUGUUCGACUUUUUAAAAAUUACAU